Molecule: ribosomal RNA, 497 nt
Filed under: uncultured bacterium
Lineage: Bacteria
Description: partial 16S ribosomal RNA
Rfam family: Bacterial small subunit ribosomal RNA
Source: RNAcentral
GAUGAACGCUGGCGGCGUGCCUAAUACAUGCAAGUCGAGCGAACAGAUGAGGAGCUUGCUCCUCUGACGUUAGCGGCGGACGGGUGAGUAACACGUGGAUAACCUACCUAUAAGACUGGGAUAACUUCGGGAAACCGGAGCUAAUACCGGAUAAUAUAUUGAACCGCAUGGUUCAAUAGUGAAAGACGGUUUUGCUGUCACUUAUAGAUGGAUCCGCGCCGCAUUAGCUAGUUGGUAAGGUAACGGCUUACCAAGGCAACGAUGCGUAGCCGACCUGAGAGGGGGAUCGGCCACACUGGAACUGAGACACGGUCCAGACUCCUAAGGGAGGCAGCAGUAGGGAAUCGGCCGCAAUGGGCGAAAGCCUGACGGAGCAACGCCGCGUGAGUGAUGAAGGUCUUCGGAUCGUAAAACUCUGUUAUUAGGGAAGAACAAAUGUGUAAGUAACUAUGCACGUCUUGACGGUACCUAAUCAGAAAGCCACGGCUAACUACGUG